CCUUCCGUAGGUGAACCUGCGGAAGGAUCAUUACCGAGUGCGGGCCCCUCGGGGCCCAACCUCCCACCCGUGUUGCCCGAACCUAUGUUGCCUCGGCGGGCCCCGCGCCCGCCGACGGCCCCCCUGAACGCUGUCUGAAGUUGCAGUCUGAGACCUAUAACGAAAUUAGUUAAAACUUUCAACAACGGAUCUCUUGGUUCCGGCAUCGAUGAAGAACGCAGCGAAAUGCGAUAACUAAUGUGAAUUGCAGAAUUCAGUGAAUCAUCGAGUCUUUGAACGCACAUUGCGCCCUCUGGUAUUCCGGAGGGCAUGCCUGUCCGAGCGUCAUUGCUGCCCUCAAGCCCGGCUUGUGUGUUGGGCCCCGUCCCCCCCGCCGGGGGGACGGGCCCGAAAGGCAGCGGCGGCACCGCGUCCGGUCCUCGAGCGUAUGGGGCUUCGUCACCCGCUCUAGUAGGCCCGGCCGGCGCCAGCCGACCCCCAACCUUUAAUUAUCUCAGGUUGACCUCGGAUCAGGUAGGGAUACCCGCUGAACUUAAGCAUAUCAAUAAGCGGAGGA
This 556-nucleotide unclassified non-coding RNA is filed under the name Penicillium citrinum. Its description in RNAcentral is "partial contains ITS1, 5.8S rRNA and ITS2". The stretch from base 174 to 327 matches the Rfam family "5.8S ribosomal RNA". The record is from RNAcentral. Lineage: Eukaryota; Fungi; Ascomycota; Eurotiomycetes; Eurotiales; Aspergillaceae.